Molecule: ribosomal RNA, 253 nt
Filed under: uncultured bacterium
Lineage: Bacteria
Description: partial 16S ribosomal RNA
Rfam family: Bacterial small subunit ribosomal RNA
Source: RNAcentral
UACGUAGGGGGCAAGCGUUGUCCGGAUUUACUGGGUGUAAAGGGUGCUCAGGUGGCUUGGAAAGUCAGUGGUGAAAUCUGAGAGCUUAACUCUCAAACUGCCAUUGAUACUUCUUAGCUUGAGUACGGAAGAGGCUGAUGGAAUUUCAGGUGUAGCAGUGAAAUGCGUAGAUAUCUGAAAGAACACCAGUGGCGAAGGCGGUCAGCUGGUCCGUUACUGACGCUGAGGUGCGAAAGCGUGGGGAGCAAACAGG